This 218-nucleotide unclassified non-coding RNA is filed under the name uncultured Tomentella. RNAcentral's name for it is "sequence contains ITS2". The record is from RNAcentral. Lineage: Eukaryota; Fungi; Basidiomycota; Agaricomycetes; Thelephorales; Thelephoraceae.
ACACCUCAACUCUCAUGGCUUGCCAUGAUGAGCUUGGACUUUGGGGGUCUUGCCGGCCUGUGGUCAGCUCCUCUCAAAUGAAUCAGCUUACCAGUGUUUGGUGGCAUCACAGGUGUGAUAACUAUCUACGCUUGUGGUUUUCCACCAGGUAACCUUCAGUGAUGGAGGUUUGCUGGGGCUCAUAAACGUCUCUCCUCAGUGAGGACAGCUCUUUGAAC